This 237-nucleotide ribosomal RNA is filed under the name uncultured bacterium. Its description in RNAcentral is "partial 16S ribosomal RNA". It matches the Rfam family "Bacterial small subunit ribosomal RNA", at positions 83 to 334 of the family's 1533-position model. The record is from RNAcentral.
CCUGUGAGUAAAGUGGCGUACGGGUGAGUAACACGUGGAUAAUCUACCUUCUAGUGGGGAAUACCCCUGGGAAACCGGGGACAAUACCGCAUAAGCUCGUGAGAGGAAAGCCGAAAGGCGCUGGAAGAGGAGUCCGCGGCUGAUUAGCUAGUUGGCGGGGUAAUGGCCCACCAAGGCGAAGAUCGGUAGCCGGCCUGAGAGGGCACACGGCCACACUGGCACUGAAACACGGGCCAG